This 392-nucleotide ribosomal RNA is filed under the name uncultured bacterium. RNAcentral's name for it is "partial 16S ribosomal RNA". It matches the Rfam family "Bacterial small subunit ribosomal RNA", at positions 523 to 918 of the family's 1533-position model. The record is from RNAcentral.
AUACGGAGGAUCCGAGCGGUAUCCGGACUUAUUGGGUUUAAAGGGUGCGCAGGCGGCCAUUUAAGUCAGCGGUUAAAUCGGGGCGCUCAACCCCAGUCUGCCGUUGAUACUGGGUGUAUUGAUUGCGGUCGAGGUUGGCGGAAUUCGGUGUGUAGGGGUGAAAUGCAUAGAUAUGACGAAGAACACCGAUUGCGUAGGCAGCUGACCAGACCGCAAAUGACGCUCAUGCACGAAAGUGCGGGGAUCGAACAGGAUUAGAUACCCUGGUAGUCCGCACAGUAAACGAUGAAUACUUGUUUUCGGCGAUAUAAUGUCGGAGGCAAAGCGAAAGCGAUAAGUAUUCCACCUGGGGAGUACGCCGGCAACGGUGAAACUCAAAGGAAUUGACGGGG